GAUAGGGUCAGCUAAAUAAGCUUUCGGGCCCAUACCCCGAACAUGACGGUUAAACUCCCUCCUCCAUCA
Molecule: transfer RNA, 69 nt
Filed under: Couesius plumbeus (lake chub)
Lineage: Eukaryota; Metazoa; Chordata; Actinopteri; Cypriniformes; Leuciscidae
Description: tRNA-Met
Source: RNAcentral